ACGCACGCUGGCGGCGUGCUUCACACCUGCAAGUCGCACUGAAAGGCCCUGCUUUUGUGGGGUGCUCGAGUGGCGAACGGGUGAGUAACACGUGAGUAACCUGCCCUUGACUUUGGGAUAACUUCAGGAAACUGGGGCUAAUACCGGAUAGGAGCUCCUGCUGCAUGGUGGGGGUUGGAAAGUUUCGGCGGUUGGGGAUGGACUCGCGGCUUAUCAGCUUGUUGGUGGGGUAGUGGCUUACCAAGGCUUUGACGGGUAGCCGGCCUGAGAGGGUGACCGGCCACAUUGGGACUGAGAUACGGCCCAGACUCCUACGGGAGGCAGCAGUGGGGAAUAUUGCACAAUGGGCGGAAGCCUGAUGCAGCAACGCCGCGUGCGGGAUGACGGCCCUCGGGUUGUAAACCGCUUUCGCCUGUGACGAAGCGUGAGUGACGGUAAUGGGUAAAGAAGCACCGGCUAACUACGUG
Molecule: ribosomal RNA, 467 nt
Filed under: uncultured bacterium
Lineage: Bacteria
Description: partial 16S ribosomal RNA
Rfam family: Bacterial small subunit ribosomal RNA
Source: RNAcentral